UAACCCGCUGAAAUUUAAGCAUAUAAUUAAGCGGAGGAAAAGAAAAUAACAAUGAUUCCACUAGUAACGGCGAGUGAAACUGGAUCUAGUUCAGCCUGUGAAUCGCUACCUAGUAGCGAGUUGUGGCCUAUAGAAGAUGUGUCGGACAAGGCUUUUUACUAAUUAUACUGGAACGUAUAGGCGAAGAGGUUGAGACCACCGUUCAUGUUUAAAGCUCUUGUCCAUGGCAUACACCUUCGACGAGUCGAUUUGCUUGGGAUUGCAGAUCAAAGUGCCAGGUAAAUUUCUGGUAAAACUAAAUAUUGGUGGGAAACCGAUAGCGAACAAGUAAUGUGAAUGAAAGUUGCAAAGAACUUUGAAAAGAGAGUUAAAGAGUACUCGAAAUCGUUGAAAGGGAAGCGUACGCAAACAGUGUUUCACUGUAUCAUCUUUCCUCACUGACUUGUCAUUGAGGCGCUGUGAUGCAGAGUUUGUCAACAAGGGUUUGGAUCGAAGCAUAAGUAUAGCUGGGAGGCACACGUCUUUUCGUGGAUUACCAGCUUGUCUCGUUUUGGUCUGGAUUGAGGCUAGUCUUCGUGUUGUUGUCGAAAUGUUUGUGUACACCCCGUCUUGAAACACGGACCAAGGAGUCUAGCAUCUGUGCGAGUAUCUGAUUUUUAACAUCAUAUGCGUAAUGAAAGUAACAGUGGUGAUAUUUUUGCAUCAUCCGCCGGCCACAACUCUUCGGAGGAAAGGUCUGAGUGUGAGCAUAUAUGCUGGGACCCGAAAGAUGGUGAACUAUGCUUGAUUAGGGUGAAGCCACCGGAAACGGGUGGUGGAGGCUCGUAACGGUCCUGACGUGCAA
Molecule: ribosomal RNA, 844 nt
Filed under: Chaetoceros debilis
Lineage: Eukaryota; Bacillariophyta; Thalassiosirophyceae; Chaetocerotales; Chaetocerotaceae
Description: partial large subunit ribosomal RNA
Rfam family: Eukaryotic large subunit ribosomal RNA
Source: RNAcentral